Molecule: non-coding RNA, 72 nt
Organism: Mus musculus (house mouse)
Lineage: Eukaryota; Metazoa; Chordata; Mammalia; Rodentia; Muridae
Source: Rfam
UCCCUGGUGGUCUAGUGGUUAGGAGUCAUUGCUCUCACCACCGCGUCCCGGGUUCGAUUCCCGGUCAGGGAA